UCAGUCGACUCCUACGGGGAGGCAGCAGUGGGGGAAUAUUGCACAAUGGGCGCAAGCCUGAUGCAGCCAUGCCGCGUGUGUGAAGAAGGCCUUCGGGUUGUAAAGCACUUUCAGUCGUGAGGAAGGUAGUGUAGUUAAUAGCUGCAUUAUUUGACGUUAGCGACAGAAGAAGCACCGGCUAACUCCGUGCCAGCAGCCGCGGUAAUACGGAGGGUGCGAGCGUUAAUCGGAAUUACUGGGCGUAAAGCGCAUGCAGGUGGUUUGUUAAGUCAGAUGUGAAAGACCCGGGGCUCAACCUCGGAAUUGCAUUUGAAACUGGCAGACUAGAGUACUGUAGAGGGGGGUAGGAAUUUCAGGUGUAGCGGUGAAAUGCGUAGAGAUCUGAAGGAAUACCGGUGGCGAAGGCGCCCCCCUCGGACAGAUACUGACACUCAGAUGCGAAAGCGUGGGGAGCAAACAGGAUUAGAUACCCUGGUAG
This 478-nucleotide ribosomal RNA is filed under the name uncultured bacterium. RNAcentral describes it as "bacterial SSU rRNA". It matches the Rfam family "Bacterial small subunit ribosomal RNA", at positions 328 to 793 of the family's 1533-position model. The record is from RNAcentral.